AUACGUAUGUCGCAAGCGUUAUCCGGAAUUAUUGGGCGUAAAGCGAGUCUAGGCGGCUUGUUAAGUCAGAUGUGAAAAUGCGGGGCUCAACUCCGUAUUGCGUUUGAAACUGGCAGGCUAGAGUACUGGAGAGGUGGGCGGAACUACAAGUGUAGAGGUGAAAUUCGUAGAUAUUUGUAGGAAUGCCGAUAGUGAAGACAGCUCACUGGACAGAUACUGACGCUAAAGCUCGAAAGCGUGGGGAGCGAACAGGAUUAGAUACCCCAGUAGUCC
RNAcentral lists this ribosomal RNA (273 nucleotides) under uncultured bacterium. Its description in RNAcentral is "partial 16S ribosomal RNA". It matches the Rfam family "Bacterial small subunit ribosomal RNA", at positions 523 to 796 of the family's 1533-position model. The record is from RNAcentral.